Molecule: ribosomal RNA, 419 nt
Filed under: uncultured Lactobacillus sp.
Lineage: Bacteria; Bacillati; Bacillota; Bacilli; Lactobacillales; Lactobacillaceae
Description: bacterial SSU rRNA
Rfam family: Bacterial small subunit ribosomal RNA
Source: RNAcentral
GGUCUUGACAUCUAGUGCAAUCUGUAGAGAUAUGGAGUUCCCUUCGGGGACGCUAAGACAGGUGGUGCAUGGCUGUCGUCAGCUCGUGUCGUGAGAUGUUGGGUUAAGUCCCGCAACGAGCGCAACCCUUGUUAUUAGUUGCCAGCAUUAAGUUGGGCACUCUAAUGAGACUGCCGGUGACAAACCGGAGGAAGGUGGGGAUGACGUCAAGUCAUCAUGCCCCUUAUGACCUGGGCUACACACGUGCUACAAUGGNCAGUACAACGAGAAGCAAGCCUGCGAAGNCAAGCGAAUCUCUGAAAGCUGUUCUCAGUUCGGACUGCAGUCUGCAACUCGACUGCACGAAGCUGGAAUCGCUAGUAAUCGCGGAUCAGCACGCCGCGGUGAAUACGUUCCCGGGCCUUGCACACACCGCCCGU